Molecule: ribosomal RNA, 515 nt
Filed under: uncultured bacterium
Lineage: Bacteria
Description: bacterial SSU rRNA
Rfam family: Bacterial small subunit ribosomal RNA
Source: RNAcentral
CUACGUGCCAGCAGCCGCGGUAAUACGGAGGGUGCGAGCGUUAAUCGGAAUAACUGGGCGUAAAGGGCACGCAGGCGGUUAUUUAAGUGAGGUGUGAAAGCCCCGGGCUUAACCUGGGAAUUGCAUUUCAGACUGGGUAACUAGAGUACUUUAGGGAGGGGUAGAAUUCCACGUGUAGCGGUGAAAUGCGUAGAGAUGUGGAGGAAUACCGAAGGCGAAGGCAGCCCCUUGGGAAUGUACUGACGCUCAUGUGCGAAAGCGUGGGGAGCAAACAGGAUUAGAUACCCUGGUAGUCCACGCUGUAAACGCUGUCGAUUUGGGGAUUGGGCUUAAAGCUUGGUGCCCGUAGCUAACGUGAUAAAUCGACCGCCUGGGGAGUACGGCCGCAAGGUUAAAACUCAAAUGAAUUGACGGGGGCCCGCACAAGCGGUGGAGCAUGUGGUUUAAUUCGAUGCAACGCGAAGAACCUUACCUACUCUUGACAUCCAUGGAAUCCAGUAGAGAUACGGGAGUGC